This 898-nucleotide ribosomal RNA is filed under the name Phacus longicauda. RNAcentral's name for it is "partial large subunit ribosomal RNA". It matches the Rfam family "Eukaryotic large subunit ribosomal RNA", at positions 2189 to 2938 of the family's 3401-position model. The record is from RNAcentral. Lineage: Eukaryota; Euglenozoa; Euglenophyceae; Euglenales; Phacaceae.
AGGUGACUUCUGCCCAGUGCUCUGGUUGUCAAUGCCAAGAGAUUGAGCCAAGCGCGGGUAAACGGCGGGAGUAACUAUGACUCUCUUAAGGUAGCCAAAUGCCUCGUCAACCAAUUAUUGACGCGCAUGAAUGGAUCAACGAGAUUCCUGCUGUCCCUAGCUGCUAUCUGGUGAACCAACAGCCAAGGGAACGGGCUUGGAUGUGUCAGCGGGGAAAGAAGACCCUGUUGAGUUUUGACUCUAGCUUGCUGCUGUGCAACGACAUGUGGGGUGUAGCACAGGUGGGAGGCCAGUGCCAUGACGUGAAAUGCAGUGCGAGUCAUUGUGUGGAGCCUUUGGUGCGAACCAGCAGUGAAAUACCACUACCUUCACCGUCGUUUUGCUCAGUGAGUGGCUGGGGACUGGUGGCCAUUGGACAUCAACUGCUGCAUGCUUGUGGUGGUUGUGGCCUCAAACCACUUCGUGUGCCAAGCACAGUCACUCCGGUGGCUGUGUGACUCUGUGGGGUGCUGACCACACCCUGUCCAUCUGUUUGGAGCCUCGGGACAAUGAGCAGCUGGGGAGUUUGGCUGGGGCGGCACGCCUGUUACAUCACAACGCAGGCGUCCUGAAGCAAUGCUCAGAUGGAACAGAAAUCUCCCAUGGAGGAGAAGGCCAAAGGUGCUGCUGAUGUGGUGACUUUCAGUGCAAGUCCAGAACAUGCAAGUGUGGCCUAGCGAUCCUUUGGCCAAGUGCACGGGUUCCAGACAUUGAAGCCAGAGGUGUCAGAAAAAUUACCACAGGGAUAACUGGCUUGUGGCUGCCAAGCGUUCAAAGCGACGUGGCUUUUUGAUCCUUCGAUGUCGGCUCUUCCUAGCUUUGCACCCGCAGCUGAGUCAAAGAGUUGGAUUGUUCACCC